ACGGGUGAGUAACACGUAUGCAAUCCCACCUGUAACGAGGGGGAUAACCCGGAGAAAUCCGGACUAAUACCCCAUAAUAUGGGCGCUCCGCAUGGAGAGUCCAUUAAAGAGAGCAAUCUUGGUUACAGACGAGCAUGCGCUCCAUUAGCCAGUUGGCGGGGUAACGGCCCACCAAGGCGACGAUGGAUAGGGGUUCUGAGAGGAAGGUCCCCCACAUUGGAACUGAGACACGGUCCAA
This 238-nucleotide ribosomal RNA is filed under the name uncultured bacterium. Its description in RNAcentral is "partial 16S ribosomal RNA". It matches the Rfam family "Bacterial small subunit ribosomal RNA", at positions 102 to 334 of the family's 1533-position model. The record is from RNAcentral.